CGUUAAGAAGCUAACAGAAAGCAGCGCUAGCCUUUUAAGCUAGAGAUAGGUGACUCCGCCCACCCUUAGCGA
Molecule: transfer RNA, 72 nt
Filed under: Microphis boaja (Asian river pipefish)
Lineage: Eukaryota; Metazoa; Chordata; Actinopteri; Syngnathiformes; Syngnathidae
Description: tRNA-Lys
Source: RNAcentral